RNAcentral lists this transfer RNA (72 nucleotides) under Bacteroidales bacterium. Its description in RNAcentral is "tRNA-Met". It matches the Rfam family "tRNA". Rfam says of the family: Transfer RNA (tRNA) molecules are approximately 80 nucleotides in length. Their secondary structure includes four short double-helical elements and three loops (D, anti-codon, and T loops). Further hydrogen bonds mediate the characteristic L-shaped molecular structure. tRNAs have two regions of fundamental functional importance: the anti-codon, which is responsible for specific mRNA codon recognition, and the 3' end, to which the tRNAs corresponding amino acid is attached (by aminoacyl-tRNA synthetases). tRNAs cope with the degeneracy of the genetic code in two manners: having more than one tRNA (with a specific anti-codon) for a particular amino acid; and 'wobble' base-pairing, i.e. permitting non-standard base-pairing at the 3rd anti-codon position. The record is from RNAcentral. Lineage: Bacteria; Pseudomonadati; Bacteroidota; Bacteroidia; Bacteroidales. RNAcentral also lists the same sequence under 2 other names.
UGCGGGAUGGAGCAGUGGUAGCUCGUUGGGCUCAUAACCCAAAGGUCGUAGGUUCGAGUCCUGCUCCCGCUA